This 174-nucleotide ribosomal RNA is filed under the name Megasphaera micronuciformis. Its description in RNAcentral is "partial 16S ribosomal RNA". It matches the Rfam family "Bacterial small subunit ribosomal RNA", at positions 1364 to 1533 of the family's 1533-position model. The record is from RNAcentral. Lineage: Bacteria; Bacillati; Bacillota; Negativicutes; Veillonellales; Veillonellaceae.
GAAUACGUUCCCGGGUCUUGUACACACCGCCCGUCACACCAUGGGAGUGGGUUUUACCAGAAGUAGGUAGCUUAACCGCAAGGAGGGCGCUUACCACGGUAGGGCUCAUGACUGGGGUGAAGUCGUAACAAGGUAGCCGUAUCGGAAGGUGCGGCUGGAUCACCUCCUUUCUAA